This 501-nucleotide ribosomal RNA is filed under the name uncultured bacterium. RNAcentral's name for it is "bacterial SSU rRNA". It matches the Rfam family "Bacterial small subunit ribosomal RNA", at positions 29 to 524 of the family's 1533-position model. The record is from RNAcentral.
AAUGAACGCUGGCGGCGUGCCUAACACAUGCAAGUCGGAUGUGCCGCAAGGUGCAUGGCAGACGGGUGAGUAACGCGUAGGGAAUCUACCUUUUUGUGGGGAAUAACGCUCCGAAAGGAGUGGUAAUACCGCAUGAGACCGUGACCUGGGAUGGUUACGGUGAAACCUGGAGACCGCAAGGCCUGGGGCAAAAAGAGGAUCCUGCGUCUGAUUAGCUAGUUGGCGGGUAAUGGCCCACCAAGGCGACGAUCAGUAGCCGGCCUGAGAGGGUGAUCGGCCACACUGGAACUGAGACACGGUCCAGACUCCUACGGGAGGCAGCAGUGGGGAAUUUUGCGCAAUGGACGAAAGUCUGACGCAGCAACGCCGCGUGGGUGAUGAAGGUCUUCGGACUGUAAAACCCUGUCGUCAGGGACGAAGGUGGCAGUGUUAAUAGCGCUGUUACUUGACGGUACCUGGAGAGGAAGCCCCGGCUAACUCUGUGCCAGCAGCCGCGGUAAU